This 441-nucleotide ribosomal RNA is filed under the name uncultured bacterium. RNAcentral describes it as "partial 16S ribosomal RNA". It matches the Rfam family "Bacterial small subunit ribosomal RNA", at positions 338 to 795 of the family's 1533-position model. The record is from RNAcentral.
CCUACGGGUGGCAGCAGUGGGGAAUAUUGCACAAUGGGGGAAACUCUGAUGCAGCGACGCCGCGUGAGUGAAGAAGUAUCUCGGUAUGUAAAGCUCUAUCAGUAGGGAAGAAAAUGACGGUACCUGACUAAGAAGCUCUGGCUAACUACGUGCCAGCAGCCGCGGUAAUACGUGAGGGGCAAGCGUUAUCCGGAUUUACUGGGUGUAAAGGGAGCGUAGGUGGCAUGGUAAGCCAGAAGUGAAAACCCGGGGCUCAACCCCGAGGAUUGCUUUUGGAACUAGCAGGCUUGAGUGCUGGAGGGGUGAGCGGAAUUCGUGGUGUAGCGGUGAAAUGCGUAGAUAUUAGGAGGAACACCGGUGGCGAAGGCAGUUUACUGGACAGAAACUGACACUGAGGCUCGAAAGCGUGGGUAGCAAACAGGAUUAGAUACCCGUGUAGUC